Molecule: ribosomal RNA, 253 nt
Filed under: uncultured bacterium
Lineage: Bacteria
Description: partial 16S ribosomal RNA
Rfam family: Bacterial small subunit ribosomal RNA
Source: RNAcentral
UACGAGGGGUGCAAGCGUUGCUCGGAAUUAUUGGGCGUAAAGGGUAGGUAGGUGGUCUCAUUUGUCUGGGGUGAAAGCCUUGGGCUUAACCCAAGAAGUGCCCCGGAAACGGUGAGACUAGAGUCCUGGAGAGGGUCGUGGAAUUCCCGGUGUAGCGGUGAAAUGCGCAGAUAUCGGGAAGAACACCCGUGGCGAAGGCGGCUCUCUGGGACGGUACUGACGCUGAGACGCGAAAGCGUGGGGAGCGAACAGG